UUGAAUAUUAUGUAUUCAGGUGCCUAUUUAAAAUUAGGUGAAAAGGGAAUGCGGUUAAAUUCCGCGGCAGCCCCCGCUACUGUAAGUGAUGACGAGCCUUUCAUAUCCACUCUUUAAUAAAGGGGAAGGGAAGGGUAAGAGUGAUUCAUAAGCCAGGAAACCUGCCUGUGUACUUUUAAGAGC
Molecule: non-coding RNA, 183 nt
Filed under: Clostridium sp.
Lineage: Bacteria; Bacillati; Bacillota; Clostridia; Eubacteriales; Clostridiaceae
Also listed under: 1 other name
Source: RNAcentral